Molecule: non-coding RNA, 69 nt
Filed under: unclassified sequences
Description: L2-Alphaproteobacteria ribosomal protein leader
Rfam family: L2-Alphaproteobacteria ribosomal protein leader
Source: RNAcentral
GGCCUACCGUUCGGGGGGCUUUACCAUGGGCGGGGAAAACUCGUCGAACACACAAACGGAAGUCAGAAA